CCGCCGAGCUCCCUGGUGGACAUGGACCGGAGGUUCCUGUAGGAGCUCGACCUCGAGAGAGAACGUGACAGGCUCUUGCACUUUCGUAGCAGCACAUUUCUGAACCUGUUCAUGUACUCAAAAAUCUAAAUCUAAACCAAAACCCUCCAAACUAAUCAAAAUUCUCUCAAUACCAAUUUGACCCAAUACACAAACACAGACAAAACUAGGAUUCAAUUAAGCUUAAUCAAGCUAGCUUCAAACAUAUAUAAGAUCAGAAAGC
RNAcentral lists this long non-coding RNA (262 nucleotides) under Oryza brachyantha (malo sina). RNAcentral describes it as "long non-coding RNA (OBRA_LNC003343)". The record is from RNAcentral. Lineage: Eukaryota; Viridiplantae; Streptophyta; Magnoliopsida; Poales; Poaceae.